UUAUUCAUCUUUAACAGGUAUAUAGGGUACCUAGACGGUGUGCAAUGGCUUAAAUAAGUACCUGGUACACUUGAGUUUGAUAUGUGAGAGGAAUAUGUCGGAAUUGUUGGAGGAAAGAUGAAAUUUGUUAAUACCAAUAGGACUGAUAACGGCGAAGGCAAACCUCUAUGUACAUGUACUUGCUAUUUCUAUUUGUUUAUUUUUUUUUCAAUAGAAAAAAAAAGAAACUAAAAAAAAGAAACUAAAAAAAAGAAACUAAAAAAAAGAAAUUUUUUUUUGUGAAGGAAUAUAUGAAAUAUUAAGCAAAAGAGCAAUGUACUAUAACUGACGUUGAGGGACGAAGGCUCAGAGAGUGAAGAGGAUUAGAUACCCCCGUAACCUGGGCAGACAAUGAUGAGUGCCAUAGGUUGGCUUUAAGGCGGAACUAUAAAUGAAAGUGGAAGCACUCCACCUCAAGAGUAAUGUGGCAACGCAGGAACUGAAAUCAUUAGACCGUUUCUGAAACCAGUAGUGAAGUUUACACGUGCU
Molecule: ribosomal RNA, 528 nt
Filed under: Alternaria porri
Lineage: Eukaryota; Fungi; Ascomycota; Dothideomycetes; Pleosporales; Pleosporaceae
Description: partial small subunit ribosomal RNA
Rfam family: Bacterial small subunit ribosomal RNA
Source: RNAcentral